AAAUAGUUAGGCCAACGUUUGUUGGUCGUCACUUCUUAGAGGGACUAUUGACUAUUAGUCAAUGGAAGUUUGAGGCAAUAACAGGUCUGUGAUGCCCUUAGAUGUUCUGGGCCGCACGCGCGCUACACUGAUCAAGUCAACGAGUUUACAACCUUGGCCGGAAGGUCUGGGUAAUCUUUUGAAACUUGAUCGUGCUGGGGAUAGUCCAUUGCAAUUAUUGGACUUCAACGAGGAAUUCCUAGUAAGCGUGAGUCAUCAGCUCGCGUUGAUUACGUCCCUGCCCUUUGUACACACCGCCCGUCGCU
This 305-nucleotide ribosomal RNA is filed under the name uncultured fungus. RNAcentral's name for it is "SSU rRNA". It matches the Rfam family "Eukaryotic small subunit ribosomal RNA", at positions 1353 to 1680 of the family's 1831-position model. The record is from RNAcentral. Lineage: Eukaryota; Fungi.